GAUAUUUUUCAAUAAAAAGCUAUGAAUCUUGUCAGGUCCGGAAGGAAGCAGCAAUAAGUAGUAAAUUUUAUGUGAAAAAUACUUCC
RNAcentral lists this signal recognition particle RNA (86 nucleotides) under Clostridia bacterium. Its description in RNAcentral is "signal recognition particle sRNA small type". It matches the Rfam family "Bacterial small signal recognition particle RNA". From Rfam's summary of the family: The signal recognition particle (SRP) is a universally conserved ribonucleoprotein involved in the co-translational targeting of proteins to membranes. Archaeal SRP consists of a 7S RNA and homologues of the eukaryotic SRP19 and SRP54 proteins. The record is from RNAcentral. Lineage: Bacteria; Bacillati; Bacillota; Clostridia.